UCUAGCUUAGUAUAUUUAAUACAUUGGAUUGUAAAUCCUAUAAAAGCCUUAGGCUA
RNAcentral lists this transfer RNA (56 nucleotides) under Spongiobothrium sp. MZUSP 7999. RNAcentral's name for it is "tRNA-Tyr". The record is from RNAcentral. Lineage: Eukaryota; Metazoa; Platyhelminthes; Cestoda; Rhinebothriidea; Rhinebothriidae.